AGAUGUGAGGGUGAUCUUACUGCAAUAUCUAUCAUCCCAUUGAUCACCCAGGGUGAUUUAGCUGAUCUGGCUGCCUAGGAAGCUGUUCCAUUUGACCCUCUUUGUUCUUUGUGUCCCUCCUGAAGCCAUGCCCUUUCUGGAUGAAGCAGGAUGACCUUCCCCAAUGGAGGUGUCUGGUCAAGUGUAUGAAAGUAGCUGUGUCCCCUUCUAGCCUCUGCAAACAAACUCUGACAAAUACCCUCCAAAUGAUACUUAGAAUUAAACAUAUAAAUCUUAGCUUU
This 281-nucleotide small nuclear RNA is filed under the name Peromyscus maniculatus bairdii (prairie deer mouse). Its description in RNAcentral is "7SK RNA (ENSPEMG00000003684.2)". It matches the Rfam family "7SK RNA". From Rfam's summary of the family: 7SK was discovered as an abundant small nuclear RNA in the mid-70s but a possible function has only recently been suggested. Two independent studies have found that 7SK RNA binds the CDK9/cyclin T complex (known as elongation factor P-TEFb). The record is from Rfam by way of RNAcentral. Lineage: Eukaryota; Metazoa; Chordata; Mammalia; Rodentia; Cricetidae.